AGUGAACGCUGGCGGUAGGCCUAACACAUGCAAGUCGAACGGCCGCACAGUAAGAGCUUGCUCUUACGGGUGGCGAGUGGCGGACGGGUGAGGAAUACAUCGGAAUCUACUUUUUCGUGGGGGAUAACGUAGGGACACUUACGCUAAUACCGCAUACGUCCUACGGGUGAAAGCAGGGGAUCUUCGGACCUUGCGCGAUUGAAUGAGCCGAUGUCGGAUUAGCUAGUUGGCGGGGUAAAGGCCCACCAAGGCGACGAUCCGUAGCUGGUCUGAGAGGAUGAUCAGCCACACUGGAACUGAGACACGGUCCAGACUCCUACGGGAGGCAGCAGUGGGGAAUAUUGGACAAUGGGCGCAAGCCUGAUCCAGCCAUACCGCGUGAGUGAAGAAGGCCUUCGGGUUGUAAAGCCCUUUUGUUGGGAAAGAAAAGCAGCAGGUUAAUACCCCGCUGUUCUGACGGUACCCAAAGAAUAAGCACCGGCUAACUUCGUG
RNAcentral lists this ribosomal RNA (492 nucleotides) under uncultured bacterium. RNAcentral describes it as "partial 16S ribosomal RNA". It matches the Rfam family "Bacterial small subunit ribosomal RNA", at positions 29 to 507 of the family's 1533-position model. The record is from RNAcentral.